Molecule: long non-coding RNA, 976 nt
Organism: Nylanderia fulva
Lineage: Eukaryota; Metazoa; Arthropoda; Insecta; Hymenoptera; Formicidae
Source: RefSeq, a predicted model, not a curated record
GCUUUAAAUAUGGAUCUCUCUCCAGAAGUAGGUGUAACUGCGGAACCUCGACUUGCGAGGGAUCCAUGCUGGACCAUUUUCCACCCAUGUUUUUAAUUCGACGACGUUCAAACACAGAUUAAUCGACGGCGUAAUCAAGUCAUAGGAACCGGCUAAAAUUUGAAUGACACGUCAAGGUGACCCCUUCCAGGUCUGUGAUCCCCUCUCCGUCGUGAAUGACGCGAUGUUCGCAUCUCGUUGACGCAGGAGAAGGCGGAAUGGGUCCAAACGAAAAGCAGAGACGUGGACAAAUGUGUGACAAGUUACCUAACUUGAUCUGGCUUGACUUUUGCUCCAUAUCGUCGUGUUUAUUCCCGCGCUUUCAGGGUCGAUGCGCAAGAGGAUGAUAAAUAAAGCGAGCUUUCAAACACAAAAGCACGUCACACGAUUGGCUAUGAAAGAGAACAUUUUCGGGACUUUGAAAAUUCUUCAUUCAACAGCCAAUUGUGUAAACUAUUAUUGUCUUCUCCUUGAAAAGCUCUCAAAAUAAAUACAUAAAUAUAAAUAUCGAAGUCGCAAUCUCAGAGAUUAAUUGAUGAUUAUGAGAUACUAGGAAACAGUAAAAAAAAGAAAAUAGGAGUGGCCGAAAAUCGGCAAGGAAAUUUUAUUAGAGAUACACGAGGACGAUGUGGCAAUUAUAUUAUGCAAGAAUAAUUAAUGCCAAUGACUUGUAUAAAGGCUCACACUAUUAUGCAAUUUUUUCAAGAUGAAAAUAGUAUAAUUAAUUAAGAUGACUGACCAACUUUCACAAAACUUUGUAAGAGUAGAUGGCUUAUCUUGAGACCGACGUAAUCGAAGCCAUCUCUCCACUUGCCUUUCGGACCAAUCUAAUUGUUUAGCCAAUCCCGCAAUCUUAAAAUAUAUGCAAUUAUGUAUCACAAAAUGUUGACAUAUAAUAUGCAGAUAAUAUACAAAUAAAGCAGUAUAUUAUUAAUGA